Molecule: non-coding RNA, 454 nt
Organism: Callorhinus ursinus (northern fur seal)
Lineage: Eukaryota; Metazoa; Chordata; Mammalia; Carnivora; Otariidae
Source: RefSeq, a predicted model, not a curated record
CUUCCUCUUUGAUUGCUCACUCCGGGGGAAGCCAGCUGCUAUAUUGUGAGGCAGCCCUUCAGAGACGCCCAUGUAAGUGAGCCUGGAAGAAGAUCUUCUGAGGCAUUCCAACAACAAGAUGAAUAAGCUUGGAAGCAGAUGCUCCCCCAGUUGAGCUCAUAGUCCCAGACAACAGCUUAACUACACCCUCAUGAGAGACCUUGAGCCAGAGGUACCCAGCAAAACCACAACUGGAUUCCUGACCCACAGAAAUUUCCUGCAGACUACGCACAGGAUCCUCAGUUUACAGAUGAGAAAACUGAUGUUCUGGGUGUUCAGAUAAACUCCCAGAGGCAGACGGAUGAUUAGCAGUAAUAGAUACAACUCCAAAGUCAAGACUCCUCUAUCCAGGACACCACACUGUCUCUUUUGCUUCUUUGUAUUUUCUGACACAUAUUUGGUGCUCAAUAAAUGU